CCAAAGGCUCUUUUCAGAGCCACUUAAGGCUGUCAAUAUUGGGUGCU
This is a non-coding RNA of Heterocephalus glaber (naked mole-rat), 47 nucleotides long. Lineage: Eukaryota; Metazoa; Chordata; Mammalia; Rodentia; Bathyergidae. The record is from Rfam.